RNAcentral lists this ribosomal RNA (387 nucleotides) under uncultured bacterium. Its description in RNAcentral is "bacterial SSU rRNA". It matches the Rfam family "Bacterial small subunit ribosomal RNA", at positions 28 to 417 of the family's 1533-position model. The record is from RNAcentral.
GACGAACGCUGGCGGCGUGCUCAACACAUGCAAGUCGAGCGGUAAGGCCCUUUCGGGGGUACACGAGCGGCGAACGGGUGAGUAACACGUGGGUGACCUGCCCUCAGCUCUGGGAUAAGCCUGGGAAACCGGGUCUAAUACCGGAUAUGACUCCAUGACGCAUGUUGUGGGGUGGAAAGCCUUGUGCGGCUGAGGAUGGGCCCGCGGCCUAUCAGCUUGUUGGUGGGGUGANGGCCUACCAAGGCGACGACGGGUAGCCGGCCUGAGAGGCGACCGGCCACACUGGGACUGAGACACGGCCCAGACUCCUACGGGAGGCAGCAGUGGGGAAUCUUGCGCAAUGGGCGAAAGCCUGACGCAGCGACGCCGCGUGAGGGAUGACGGCCU